RNAcentral lists this ribosomal RNA (919 nucleotides) under uncultured bacterium. RNAcentral describes it as "bacterial SSU rRNA". It matches the Rfam family "Bacterial small subunit ribosomal RNA", at positions 562 to 1498 of the family's 1533-position model. The record is from RNAcentral.
AAAGGGUCCGUAGGCGGUUAAUAAGUCAGUGGUGAAAUCUGGUCGCUCAACGAUCAAACGGCCAUUGAUACUGUUAGACUUGAAUUACUAGGAAGUAACUAGAAUAUGUAGUGUAGCGGUGAAAUGCUUAGAUAUUACAUGGAAUACCAAUUGCGAAGGCAGGUUACUACUAGUGGAUUGACGCUGAUGGACGAAAGCGUGGGGAGCGAACAGGAUUAGAUACCCUGGUAGUCCACGCCGUAAACGAUGGAUACUAGCUGUUGGGCGCAAGUUCAGUGGCUAAGCGAAAGUGAUAAGUAUCCCACCUGGGGAGUACGUUCGCAAGAAUGAAACUCAAAGGAAUUGACGGGGGCCCGCACAAGCGGUGGAGCAUGUGGUUUAAUUCGAUGAUACGCGAGGAACCUUACCAAGGCUUAAAUGUAGAUUGACCGGUUUGGAAACAGAUCUUUCGCAAGACAAUUUACAAGGUGCUGCAUGGUUGUCGUCAGCUCGUGCCGUGAGGUGUCAGGUUAAGUCCUAUAACGAGCGCAACCCCUGUUGUUAGUUGCCAGCGAGUCAAGUCGGGAACUCUAACAAGACUGCCAGUGUAAACUGUGAGGAAGGUGGGGAUGACGUCAAAUCAUCACGGCCCUUACGCCUUGGGCUACACACGUGCUACAAUGGACGGUACAGAGAGCAGCCACCUCGCAAGAGGGAGCGAAUCUACAAAACCGUUCUCAGUUCGGAUCGGAGUCUGCAACUCGACUCCGUGAAGCUGGAAACGCUAGUAAUCGGAUAUCAGCCAUGAUCCGGUGAAUACGUUCCCGGGCCUUGUACACACCGCCCGUCAAGCCAUGGAAGCUGGGGGUGCCUGAAGUCGGUGACCGCAAGGAGCUGCCUAGGGUAAAACUGGUAACUAGGGCUAAGUCGUAACAAGGUA